GCAAGUCGAACGAGAUUGUUACUUCGGUAACAUGAGAGUGGCGCACGGGUGAGUAACGCGUAGAGAUCUACCAAGCAGUAAGGGACAACUAUUGGAAACGAUAGCUAAAACCGCAUACGCCCUUAGGGGGAAAUAUUUAUAGCUGUUUGAUGAGUCUGCGUUAGAUUAGCUAGUUGGUAGGGUAAAAGCCUACCAAGGCGACGAUCUAUAGCUGGUUUGAGAGGAUGAUC
Molecule: ribosomal RNA, 230 nt
Filed under: uncultured bacterium
Lineage: Bacteria
Description: partial 16S ribosomal RNA
Rfam family: Bacterial small subunit ribosomal RNA
Source: RNAcentral